UGAGGAAUAUUGGUCAAUGGGCGAGAGCCUGAACCAGCCAAGUCGCGUGAAGGAAGAAGGUCUUAUGGAUUGUAAACUUCUUUUGUAAGGGAAUAAAGUGCGUUACGUGUAGUGCAUUGCAAGUACCUUACGAAUAAGGAUCGGCUAACUCCGUGCCAGCAGCCGCGGUAAUACGGAGGAUCCGAGCGUUAUCCGGAUUUAUUGGGUUUAAAGGGUGCGCAGGCGGGGGAUUAGGUCGGCGGUGAAAUAUCAGGGCUCAACCUUGAGAGUGCCGUCGAAACCGGUUUUCUUGAGUGCGGAUGAAGUAGGCGGAAUUUGUGGUGUAGCGGUGAAAUGCGUAGAUAUCACAAAGAACACCGAUUGCGGAGGCAGCUUACUAAACCGCAACUGACGCUCAUGCACGAAGGCGUGGGGAUCAAACAGG
This 424-nucleotide ribosomal RNA is filed under the name uncultured prokaryote. RNAcentral describes it as "bacterial SSU rRNA". It matches the Rfam family "Bacterial small subunit ribosomal RNA", at positions 355 to 776 of the family's 1533-position model. The record is from RNAcentral. RNAcentral also lists the same sequence under 1 other name.